RNAcentral lists this ribosomal RNA (468 nucleotides) under uncultured bacterium. Its description in RNAcentral is "bacterial SSU rRNA". It matches the Rfam family "Bacterial small subunit ribosomal RNA", at positions 328 to 793 of the family's 1533-position model. The record is from RNAcentral.
GCGCCAGACUCCUACGGGAGGCAGCAGUGAGGAAUAUUGGUCAAUGGCCGGAAGGCUGAACCAGCCAAGUCGCGUGAGGGAAUAAGGCCCUAUGGGUCGUAAACCUCUUUUGCCGGGGAGCAAGGGCCGGGACGCGUCCCGGCCCGGAGAGUACCCGGAGAAAAAGCAUCGGCUAACUCCGUGCCAGCAGCCGCGGUAAUACGGAGGAUGCGAGCGUUAUCCGGAUUUAUUGGGUUUAAAGGGUGCGUAGGCGGGCUUUUAAGUCAGCGGUAAAAAUUCGGGGCUCAACCCCGUCCGGCCGUUGAAACUGGGGGCCUUGAGUGGGCGAGAAGAAGGCGGAAUGCGUGGUGUAGCGGUGAAAUGCAUAGAUAUCACGCAGAACCCCGAUUGCGAAGGCAGCCUUCCGGCGCCCUACUGACGCUGAGGCACGAAAGUGCGGGGAUCGAACAGGAUUAGAUACCCUCGUAC